Molecule: non-coding RNA, 185 nt
Filed under: Oryctolagus cuniculus (rabbit)
Lineage: Eukaryota; Metazoa; Chordata; Mammalia; Lagomorpha; Leporidae
Description: Eukaryotic large subunit ribosomal RNA
Rfam family: Eukaryotic large subunit ribosomal RNA
Source: Rfam by way of RNAcentral
ACAAAUUAAAAUGUUAAAAAUUACAACUACCUGUGGCAGAUGUUGAGGGGAUGUAUUUCUGCCAAGUGCUGUGAAUGUCAAAGUGAAGAAAUUCAGUGAAGCAUGAGUGAUCAAUGUGAAUAACUAUGACUCUGGUAAGGUGGCCAAAUGCCUCAUCAAAUCAGUGGUGCACAUGAAUGUGUGAA